UUUCUGUCAUGCCUUGUCUUUAGAAGGCACCGUGAUGAAUGCUAAUUUAAUAGAGGAGAAUCAAGCAAGCGAUGUGCAAUGAUUUUAAUGAAUUUUAAUGACCAUAUUCUACACUUAAUGAUGAUUGAUAGUCGAUUUAUGGUUUCUCCCACUUUAGUAAGAAAGAUGUGGUGUACAGAAUCUUGCAAAAAUGGAGGAUAUGGAUUUGGGGCGCGAACUGUCCCGACCACGGCGGUGCUGCCUACCAACACCAUGUGCAAGACUGCCUGACUUGUCCUCUAUCUUAAUGUUGUCAGCAAGAAGUUACUCCAAAUUCCAUCGCCUAACAAUAUCAUCAGUUGUAAGAAGUUAGGAGUUUGGUACGUACCCCGGUGCAAGAGACCAUGGAUGCAAAAGUCAGAUAAUUAGGAACCUGGACUACAAGGGCAAAUGGGAGGCACCUUUCAUCGACAUUCAGCCCAGGGAACCUCAACUUUCCCACUGUUGUACAUUCAUACUACUGUCCAUGUAUCGCUUCUGCUCAA
Molecule: long non-coding RNA, 524 nt
Organism: Triticum dicoccoides
Lineage: Eukaryota; Viridiplantae; Streptophyta; Magnoliopsida; Poales; Poaceae
Exons: 3
Source: RefSeq, a predicted model, not a curated record